RNAcentral lists this signal recognition particle RNA (292 nucleotides) under Saimiri boliviensis boliviensis (Bolivian squirrel monkey). RNAcentral's name for it is "Metazoan signal recognition particle RNA (ENSSBOG00000006116.1)". It matches the Rfam family "Metazoan signal recognition particle RNA". From Rfam's summary of the family: The signal recognition particle (SRP) is a universally conserved ribonucleoprotein. It is involved in the co-translational targeting of proteins to membranes. The eukaryotic SRP consists of a 300-nucleotide 7S RNA and six proteins: SRPs 72, 68, 54, 19, 14, and 9. Lineage: Eukaryota; Metazoa; Chordata; Mammalia; Primates; Cebidae. The record is from RNAcentral.
GCCAGGUGCUGUACCUGUUGUCCCAGCUACUCAGGAGGCUCAGGUGUGAGGAUCGCUUGAGCCUAGCAGCUCUGGGCUGUGGUGCACUGUGCUGAUGAGAUGGCCACACUAAGUUUAGCAUGGAUAAUGGUGACCUCCUGGGAGCAGGGGACCAACAGCUUGCCUAAGGGGGGUUCAACUGGCCCACGUUGGAAAUAAAGUGGGUCAAAACUCCCAUGCUGAUUAGUAGUAGGAUUUGCCUGUGAACGGCCACUGCCCUCCAGCCAGGGCAGCAUAGCGAGAGUCCAUCUCU